CACAGAUUGACUUUUAGUUGAUUGUGUGCUGACUAGCAGACGACGUCAAUUUGCAACAGCCAGUCUGCUUGUGGAAUGUGGCAUGGCCUACUCAUUAUAAUAGGAAAGAAAAAAAUGCCUCUUGUGUCACAUUUGAUGGUUCCUUUACCUAUCAAAUCUGUACCACAUUGGCAGAGGGUUCACAUGUAGGUGCUGAAUCAACUGGAAAACGUUCAAAAAAAGGGAAUUGAGAAUUACAUUUAUCAUCAGGCAUACCUCCAUUUCAGAAAAUUUUAUCGUAAACAUGACAAGUUGGAAAUUGAUUUACUGUUUACAUGUCACCUUAAGUGAUAUCAUUGCAUACCAGACUUUAUUCGGAUGCAAAAAAAAUUUCCCUCAUUUAAAAGGCAUGCAUGAUUUAAUGGUUGCAAUUUUGUAAUGAAGACAAAUGAAAGCUGCAGCUGUGGAAAAUAGAAUUGACAGAUUACAUUCAUCAUCAGACGCAUUUCAUUUUCAGAAAGUUUUGUCUUGAAGAUGACAACAGUUGCCAGUCGAUUUACAUGUCACCUUAAGUGAUGUCAUAGCAGGAGCUU
Molecule: long non-coding RNA, 572 nt
Filed under: Daphnia pulicaria
Lineage: Eukaryota; Metazoa; Arthropoda; Branchiopoda; Diplostraca; Daphniidae
Description: uncharacterized LOC124343478, transcript variant X1
Source: RNAcentral